GCCGGCUUAGCUCAGUGGUAGAGCGUCUGUCUCGUAAACAGAAGGUCGCAGGUUCGAUCCCUGCAGUCGGCA
Molecule: non-coding RNA, 72 nt
Organism: Steinernema glaseri
Lineage: Eukaryota; Metazoa; Nematoda; Chromadorea; Rhabditida; Steinernematidae
Source: Rfam